Molecule: ribosomal RNA, 723 nt
Filed under: Aspergillus versicolor
Lineage: Eukaryota; Fungi; Ascomycota; Eurotiomycetes; Eurotiales; Aspergillaceae
Description: SSU rRNA
Rfam family: Eukaryotic small subunit ribosomal RNA
Source: RNAcentral
AUAGUACCUUACUACAUGGAUACCUGUGGUAAUUCUAGAGCUAAUACAUGCUAAAAACCCCGACUUCGGGAGGGGUGUAUUUAUUAGAUAAAAAACCAAUGCCCCUCGGGGCUCCUUGGUGAAUCAUAAUAACUUAACGAAUCGCAUGGCCUUGCGCCGGCGAUGGUUCAUUCAAAUUUCUGCCCUAUCAACUUUCGAUGGUAGGAUAGUGGCCUACCAUGGUGGCAACGGGUAACGGGGAAUUAGGGUUCGAUUCCGGAGAGGGAGCCUGAGAAACGGCUACCACAUCCAAGGAAGGCAGCAGGCGCGCAAAUUACCCAAUCCCGACACGGGGAGGUAGUGACAAUAAAUACUGAUACGGGGCUCUUUUGGGUCUCGUAAUUGGAAUGAGUACAAUCUAAAUCCCUUAACGAGGAACAAUUGGAGGGCAAGUCUGGUGCCAGCAGCCGCGGUAAUUCCAGCUCCAAUAGCGUAUAUUAAAGUUGUUGCAGUUAAAAAGCUCGUAGUUGAACCUUGGGUCUGGCUGGCCGGUCCGCCUCACCGCGAGUACUGGUCCGGCUGGACCUUUCCUUCUGGGGAAUCCCAUGGCCUUCACUGGCUGUGGGUGGAACCAGGACUUUUACUGUGAAAAAAUUAGAGUGUUCAAAGCAGGCCUUUGCUCGGAUACAUUAGCAUGAAAUAAUAGAAUAGGACGUGCGGUUCUAUUUUUGUUGGUUUCUAGGA